CAGCUCAUUAGCAUUUCCCCACCCGGGCGCCGCGACCUCGCGAGGGCACGGGGCUUGAGGGGUGAGGGUGAGGGACAGACUGAGAGAGCCCUCCCUGCACUGUCCUCCUGCCACCCCCGAACCGUGUCCCCCUCCGCCGCAGGUGGAGAAUGGCAAGAAGCGCUCUUGCAUUGUGGGCUUCCAGAGGUCCAGCUCUGCAUUUGGAGGAGAGAGAAGGGAGCAGCCACCGCCUGCCAAGACUGCGAGUGAUUCAUUCAACAUGGCAGUUCCCAUACUCAUCGCACAAGGCGUGGACGACACAAAGAGAUGGCUUGCCUGCAAGAGACCCAGCUGGUCCAGAGUCGGAGGCACAUUUCAUUUCUCUGGCCAGCUGGAGAGGCGGCCGGAGCAGACGAGGAGAUCGCCUCUAAUGUUCUAAAUGUCAAUAUGGUCCCUACUGGCUGACUCGCCAAGAUUUGAUCAGCAAAUUGGCCUGCGUGAUGUGUUCCCUGCAAUGCACGGUGUGUGUUUAAAUCUUUCAACAGUGUCAUGAAAGAAGCUGAAGAACAGUAAACAAUUCUCAGUGGAAGUGGU
RNAcentral lists this long non-coding RNA (573 nucleotides) under Equus caballus (horse). RNAcentral's name for it is "lncRNA (ENSECAG00000037308.2)". The record is from RNAcentral. Lineage: Eukaryota; Metazoa; Chordata; Mammalia; Perissodactyla; Equidae.